This 117-nucleotide ribosomal RNA is filed under the name Candidatus Eiseniibacteriota bacterium. Lineage: Bacteria; Candidatus Eiseniibacteriota. The record is from RNAcentral.
UCCGGUGGCAAUGGCGGAGGGGAAACACCCGUUCCCAUUCCGAACACGGUCGUUAAGCCCUCCAGCGCCGAUGGUACUGCGUGGGAGACUGCGUGGGAGAGUAGGUCGCCGCCGGGA